This 76-nucleotide transfer RNA is filed under the name Sphaerodactylus townsendi. Its description in RNAcentral is "tRNA-Ala". Lineage: Eukaryota; Metazoa; Chordata; Lepidosauria; Squamata; Sphaerodactylidae. The record is from RNAcentral.
GGGGAAGUCUGUGGCUUAGGGGAAGAACCUCUGUUUUGCAUGCAGAAGGUCCCAGGUUCAAUCCCUGACAUCACCA